CACGAGUGGCGAACGGGUGAGUAACACGUGGGUAAUCUGCCCUGCACUUCGGGAUAAGCCUGGGAAACUGGGUCUAAUACCGGAUAUGAACUCCUGCCGCAUGGUGGGGGUUGGAAAGUUUUUCGGUGCAGGAUGAGCCCGCGGCCUAUCAGCUUGUUGGUGGGGUAAUGGCCUACCAAGGCGACGACGGGUAGCCGGCCUGAGAGGGUGAUCGGCCACACUGGGACUGAGACACGGCCCAGACUCCUACGGGAGGCAGCAGUGGGGAAUAUUGCACAAUGGGCGAAAGCCUGAUGCAGCGACGCCGCGUGGGGGAUGACGGUCUUCGGAUUGUAAACCCCUUUCAGUAGGGACGAAGCGCAAGUGACGGUACCUGCAGAAGAAGCACCGGCUAACUACGUGCCAGCAGCCGCGGUAAUACGUAGGGUGCGAGCGUUGUCCGGAAUUACUGGGCGUAAAGAGCUCGUAGGCGGUUUGUCACGUCGUCUGUGAAAUCCCUCGGCUUAACCGGGGGCGUGCAGGCGAUACGGGCAGACUUGAGUACUACAGGGGAGACUGGAAUUCCUGGUGUAGCGGUGAAAUGCGCAGAUAUCAGGAGGAACACCGGUGGCGAAGGCGGGUCUCUGGGUAGUAACUGACGCUGAGGAGCGAAAGCAUGGGUAGCGAACAGGAUUAGAUACCCUGGUAGUCCAUGCCGUAAACGGUGGGCGCUAGGUGUGGGGUCCUUCCACGGACUCCGUGCCGUAGCUAACGCAUUAAGCGCUCCGCCUGGGGAGUACGGC
This 782-nucleotide ribosomal RNA is filed under the name Dietzia sp. MCCC 1A10562. Its description in RNAcentral is "bacterial SSU rRNA". It matches the Rfam family "Bacterial small subunit ribosomal RNA", at positions 90 to 886 of the family's 1533-position model. Lineage: Bacteria; Bacillati; Actinomycetota; Actinomycetes; Mycobacteriales; Dietziaceae. The record is from RNAcentral.